RNAcentral lists this unclassified non-coding RNA (319 nucleotides) under plant metagenome. RNAcentral describes it as "partial contains 5.8S ribosomal RNA, internal transcribed spacer 2, and large subunit ribosomal RNA". The stretch from base 1 to 105 matches the Rfam family "5.8S ribosomal RNA", at positions 50 to 154 of the family's 154-position model. The record is from RNAcentral.
GAAAUGCGAUAAGUAAUGUGAAUUGCAGAAUUCAGUGAAUCAUCGAAUCUUUGAACGCACAUUGCGCCCGCCAGUAUUCUGGCGGGCAUGCCUGUUCGAGCGUCAUUACAACCCUCAGGCCCCCGGGCCUGGCGUUGGGGAUCGGCGGAAGCCCCCUGCGGGCACAACGCCGUCCCCCAAAUACAGUGGCGGUCCCGCCGCAGCUUCCAUUGCGUAGUAGCUAACACCUCGCAACUGGAGAGCGGCGCGGCCACGCCGUAAACACCCAACUUCUGAAUGUUGACCUCGAAUCAGGUAGGAAUACCCGCUGAACUUAAGC